ACAGAGGGAUAGCCCAGAGAAAUUUGGAUUAAUACCUCAUAGCAUCAUGUUCCGGCAUCGGGAUAUGAUUAAAGUCACAACGGUGGAAGAUGAGCAUGCGUCCCAUUAGCUAGUUGGUAAGGUAACGGCUUACCAAGGCUACGAUGGGUAGGGGUCCUGAGAGGGGGAUCCCCCACACUGGUACUGAGACACGGACCAGACUCCUACGGGAGGCAGCAGUGAGGAAUAUUGGUCAAUGGACGCAAGUCUGAACCAGCCAUGCCGCGUGCAGGAUGACGGUCCUAUGGAUUGUAAACUGCUUUUGUACGGGAAGAAACACUCCUACGUGUAGGAGCUUGACGGUACCGUAAGAAUAAGGAUCGGCUAACUCCGUGCCAGCAGCCGCGGUAAUACGGAGGAUCCAAGCGUUAUCCGGAAUCAUUGGGUUUAAAGGGUCCGUAGGCGGUUUGGUAAGUCAGUGGUGAAAGCCCAUCGCUCAACGGUGGAACGGCCAUUGAUACUGCCGAACUUGAAUUAUUGGGAAGUAACUAGAAUAUGUAGUGUAGCGGUGAAAUGCUUAGAGAUUACAUGGAAUACCAAUUGCGAAGGCAGGUUACUACCAAUGGAUUGACGCUGAUGGACGAAAGCGUGGGUAGCGAACAGGAUUAGAUACCCUGGUAGUCCACGCCGUAAACGAUGGAUACUAGCUGUUGGUGGCAACAUCAGUGGCUAAGCGAAAGUGAUAAGUAUCCCACCUGGGGAGUACGAACGCAAGUUUGAAACUCAAAGGAAUUGACGGGGGCCCGCACAAGCGGUGGAGCAUGUGGUUUAAUUCGAUGAUACGCGAGGAACCUUACCAAGGCUUAAAUGCAGACUGACCGAUUUGGAAACAGAUCUUUCGCAAGACAGUUUACAAGGUGCUGCAUGGUUGUCGUCAGCUCGUGCCGUGAGGUGUCAGGUUAAGUCCUAUAACGAGCGCAACCCCUGUUGUUAGUUGCCAGCGAGUAGUGUCGGGAACUCUAACAAGACUGCCAGUGCAAACUGUGAGGAAGGUGGGGAUGACGUCAAAUCAUCACGGCCCUUACGCCUUGGGCUACACACGUGCUACAAUGGCCGGUACAGAGAGCAGCCACCCCGCGAGGGGGAGCGAAUCUAUAAAGCCGGUCACAGUUCGGAUCGGAGUCCGCAACUCGACUCCGUGAAGCUGGAAUCGC
This 1193-nucleotide ribosomal RNA is filed under the name uncultured bacterium. RNAcentral describes it as "bacterial SSU rRNA". It matches the Rfam family "Bacterial small subunit ribosomal RNA", at positions 135 to 1335 of the family's 1533-position model. The record is from RNAcentral.